This 290-nucleotide long non-coding RNA is filed under the name Linum usitatissimum (flax). RNAcentral's name for it is "long non-coding RNA (LUSI_LNC001075)". The record is from RNAcentral. Lineage: Eukaryota; Viridiplantae; Streptophyta; Magnoliopsida; Malpighiales; Linaceae.
GGAUCAAUUUCAAGACCGAAAUCUGAAGCAAGGGAGCAAGGAAUGAAACCGGGGCUGGAAAUAUGCUGAGUGAAUUCAUCCUCAAGUAAAAUAUUAGACGAAUCAGAGGGGAAACAUGUAACAGGAAGAUCGAGAUCAAGAGGAACCUGUUGAACUAGUUUGAUCAUGGAUGAUUGAACUUGCUCAAGCAAAGCACUAUCUUCAGGCUCUUCACUGUCGUCCUCAAGGAGUGCCCAAAUUGAAUCGUAAUCAAUGUAGAUAUCAUUGUUAUCAAGGUGUCCACUCUCAGA